Molecule: ribosomal RNA, 491 nt
Filed under: uncultured bacterium
Lineage: Bacteria
Description: partial 16S ribosomal RNA
Rfam family: Bacterial small subunit ribosomal RNA
Source: RNAcentral
AGUGAACGCUGGCGGUAGGCCUAACACAUGCAAGUCGAACGGCAGCACAGUAAGAGCUUGCUCUUACGGGUGGCGAGUGGCGGACGGGUGAGGAAUACAUCGGAAUCUACUUUUUCGUGGGGGAUAACGUAGGGAAACUUACGCUAAUACCGCAUACGACCUACGGGUGAAAGCAGGGGAUCUUCGGACCUUGCGCGAUUGAAUGAGCCGAUGUCGGAUUAGCUAGUUGGCGGGGUAAAGGCCCACCAAGGCGACGAUCCGUAGCUGGUCUGAGAGGAUGAUCAGCCACACUGGAACUGAGACACGGUCCAGACUCCUACGGGAGGCAGCAGUGGGGAAUAUUGGACAAGGGGCGCAAGCCUGAUCCAGCCAUACCGCGUGGUGAAGAAGGCCUUCGGGUUGUAAAGCCCUUUUGUUGGGAAAGAAAAGCAGCAGGUUAAUACCCCGCUGUUCUGACGGUACCCAAAGAAUAAGCACCGGCUAACUUCGUG